GUAAUCAGUUUUUACUUAACUUACACAUGCAAGUCUCCGCACACCCGUGAGAACGCCCUUUCACCCCUCUAGGGAUGAGGAGCUGAUAUCAGGCUCUAUCGCCCAAAACAUCUAGCCACGCCACACCCACAAGGGCCUUCAGCAGUGAUUAACCUUAAGAAUAAACGUCAGUUUGACUUAGUUAAAUGAAAAUAGAGCCGGCCAAUCUGGUGCCAGCCGCCGCGGCUACACCAUGAGACUCAAAUUGAUUUCACACGGCGUAAAGCGUGAUUAAAGAAAUAAAUGCUGGGGUUUAAAUUACUACUGUUUACACGAUUAUUCUUAAGAAGCCCUACCUCGAAAGAUGCCCCAACCAAUCAACUUGA
RNAcentral lists this ribosomal RNA (365 nucleotides) under Pristimantis inguinalis. Its description in RNAcentral is "partial 12S ribosomal RNA". The record is from RNAcentral. Lineage: Eukaryota; Metazoa; Chordata; Amphibia; Anura; Strabomantidae.